RNAcentral lists this ribosomal RNA (506 nucleotides) under uncultured bacterium. RNAcentral describes it as "partial 16S ribosomal RNA". It matches the Rfam family "Bacterial small subunit ribosomal RNA", at positions 29 to 523 of the family's 1533-position model. The record is from RNAcentral.
AGUGAACGCUGGCGGUAGGCCUAACACAAGCAAGUCGAACGGCAGCACAGGAGAGCUUGCUCUCUGGGUGGCGAGUGGCGGACGGGUGAGGAAUACAUCGGAAUCUACUCUGUCGUGGGGGAUAACGUAGGGAAACUUACGCUAAUACCGCAUACGACCUACGGGUGAAAGCAGGGGACCUUCGGGCCUUGCGCGAUUGAAUGAGCCGAUGUCGGAUUAGCUAGUUGGCGGGGUAAAGGCCCACCAAGGCGACGAUCCGUAGCUGGUCUGAGAGGCUGAUCAGCCACACUGGAACUGAGCCAGGGUCCAGACUCCGACGGGAGGCAGCAGUGGGUAAUAUUGGACAUUGGGCGCAAGCCUGAUCCAGCCAUACCGCGUGGGUGAAGAAGGCCUUCGGGUUGUAAAGCCCUUUUGUUGGGAAAGAAAUCCAGCUGGCUAAUACCCGGUUGGGAUGGCGGUACCCAAAGAAUAAGCACCGGCUAACUUCAUGCCAGCCGCCGCCGUAA